This 360-nucleotide unclassified non-coding RNA is filed under the name Hevea brasiliensis (rubber tree). The record is from RNAcentral. Lineage: Eukaryota; Viridiplantae; Streptophyta; Magnoliopsida; Malpighiales; Euphorbiaceae.
UGAUCGUCCACGAUAUGAUUCCACCUUGGCUACGAGGGGAGUCGGGCACCUUGUCCGCAAGGGCACUGGUGGAAGAUCGUCCGUUAGUGGGAUUGUGGCUACUGUCUUUGGAGCUACUGGAUUCCUUGGCCGUUAUGUUGUACAGCAACUAGCUAAAAUGGGGUCCCAAGUGUUAGUCCCUUUUCGAGGUUCUGAAGAUUCACCUCGUCAUCUUAAAUUAAUGGGAGAUCUGGGACAGAUAGUACCAAUGAAAUACAACCCAAGAGAUGAAAGUUCAAUAAAAGCUGUAAUGGCAAAGGCUAAUGUGGUCCUUAAUCUUAUUGGAAGGGAGUAUGAAACAAGAAACUACAGCUUUGAGGA